This 643-nucleotide ribosomal RNA is filed under the name uncultured bacterium. RNAcentral's name for it is "bacterial SSU rRNA". It matches the Rfam family "Bacterial small subunit ribosomal RNA", at positions 232 to 885 of the family's 1533-position model. The record is from RNAcentral.
CGCGGCCUAUCAGCUUGUUGGUGGGGUAAUGGCCUACCAAGGCGACGACGGGUAGCCGGCCUGAGAGGGCGACCGGCCACACUGGGACUGAGACACGGCCCAGACUCCUACGGGAGGCAGCAGUGGGGAAUAUUGCACAAUGGGCGAAAGCCUGAUGCAGCGACGCCGCGUGAGGGAUGACGGCCUUCGGGUUGUAAACCUCUUUCAGCAGGGACGAAGCGUAAGUGACGGUACCUGCAGAAGAAGCGCCGGCCGACUACGUGCCAGCAGCCGCGGUAAGACGUAGGGCGCGAGCGUUGUCCGGAUUUAUUGGGCGUAAAGAGCUCGUAGGCGGCUUGUCGCGUCGACUGUGAAAACCCGCAGCUCAACUGCGGGCCUGCAGUCGAUACGGGCAGGCUAGAGUUCGGUAGGGGAGACUGGAAUUCCUGGUGUAGCGGUGGAAUGCGCAGAUAUCAGGAGGAACACCGGUGGCGAAGGCGGGUCUCUGGGCCGAUACUGACGCUGAGGAGCGAAAGCGUGGGGAGCGAACAGGAUUAGAUACCCUGGUAGUCCACGCUGUAAACGUUGGGCGCUAGGUGUGGGGGACCUCUCCGGUUCUCUGUGCCGCAGCUAACGCAUUAAGCGCCCCGCCUGGGGAGUACGG